Long non-coding RNA from Gopherus evgoodei (Goodes thornscrub tortoise), 325 nucleotides. RefSeq lists it as uncharacterized. The record is from RefSeq and is a predicted model, not a curated record. The transcript has 3 exons. NCBI's taxonomy places the organism in Eukaryota, Metazoa, Chordata, Testudines, Testudinidae.
GGGGAGCUGCGUACAUCGAUCCCGUGCCGUGAGGAUGACACCGUUCAUUUCUUGUGGCUGAAAAUGUAGGAUGAGAUCUCCACUCAGCAGAAAGUCAUAAGAGGGUGGACAGCUAUGGAAGACUUCCCAGAUCUUCUGCAUCUGGAAAAUAAAGCACAGACGCAUAUGCUAAAGCUCAAGAAGACUUGUAAAAUUCUGCUCCCCCAGUUAGGUUAUUUCUUUGAUGGGCUGCCAUGCUGAAUUCAUUUUGGGCCACUGGGGCUCCCCUGUUACAAGCUGAAAUCACUAUAGAACUGAGAUCACUGAGUGCUGUGUUAACUAGUGG